GUGAACCUUUACUAUAGCUUGACACUGAACAUUGAGCCUUGAUGUGUAGGAUAGGUGGGAGGCUUAGAAGUGUGGACGCCAGUCUGCAUGGAGCCGACCUUGAAAUACCACCCUUUAAUGUUUGAUGUUCUAACGUUGACCCGUAAUCCGGGUUGCGGACAGUGUCUGGUGGGUAGUUUGACUGGGGCGGUCUCCUCCUAAAGAGUAACGGAGGAGCACGAAGGUUGGCUAAUCCUGGUCGGACAUCAGGAGGUUAGUGCAAUGGCAUAAGCCAGCUUGACUGCGAGCGUGACGGCGCGAGCAGGUGCGAAAGCAGGUCAUAGUGAUCCGGUGGUUCUGAAUGGAAGGGCCAUCGCUCAACGGAUAAAAGGUACUCCGGGGAUAACAGGCUGAUACCGCCCAAGAGUUCAUAUCGACGGCGGUGUUUGGCACCUCGAUGUCGGCUCAUCACAUCCUGGGGCUGAAGUAGGUCCCAAGGGUAUGGCUGUUCGCCAUUUAAAGUGGUACGCGAGCUGGGUUUAGAACGUCGUGAGACAGUUCGGUCCCUAUCUGCCGUGGGCGCUGGAGAACUGAGGGGGGCUGCUCCUAGUACGAGAGGACCGGAGUGGACGCAUCACUGGUGUUCGGGUUGUCAUGCCAAUGGCACUGCCCGGUAGCUAAAUGCGGAAGAGAUAAGUGCUGAAAGCAUCUAAGCACGAAACUUGCCCCGAGAUGAGUUCUCCCUGACCCUUUAAGGGUCCUGAAGGAACGUUGAAGACGACGACGUUGAUAGGCCGGGUGUGUAAGCGCAGCGAUGCGUUGAGCUAACCGGUACUAAUGAACCGUGAGG
RNAcentral lists this ribosomal RNA (829 nucleotides) under Escherichia coli. RNAcentral's name for it is "partial 23S ribosomal RNA". It matches the Rfam family "Bacterial large subunit ribosomal RNA", at positions 2093 to 2916 of the family's 2925-position model. Lineage: Bacteria; Pseudomonadati; Pseudomonadota; Gammaproteobacteria; Enterobacterales; Enterobacteriaceae. The record is from RNAcentral.